Long non-coding RNA from Arabidopsis thaliana (thale cress), 570 nucleotides. RefSeq annotates it as other RNA. Lineage: Eukaryota; Viridiplantae; Streptophyta; Magnoliopsida; Brassicales; Brassicaceae. The transcript has 2 exons. The record is from RefSeq.
CCAUCAGUGAUCCUCUGCACAAUUCCACAAUACAUGUGAUACGGACUGUUCUGGUUCUUGACUAUAGCAAUCAUCCCCGGCAUGAGAAGGGGUAGCUUGGGCGCUUUCGGCUUCUUAUCUGUAGCAACCGCGGAUGCAUCGCUUCCUUGUUUUGCAGGUGGUGGUGGUGGAGGAGGUGGUGGAUUUUUUUCGAUAAACGUUUUUAAACCCUUUUCGCCACCGGGAAAUCCUCCUGUGAGACCCAUCAUCUCUUUCUCGAAACCAUCUUCAGUUUUGACUGCUGUUUUGGAGGCGGGAAAACCGACCGGUUUACAGUUGAAAAUUGAUGUGUUUGGCCUAGAAAUUUUGAUCGAUGAAUCGGAGUUCUAAUGGUCGGGAUAGUGAUCGAAGAAGUCGCCAUAACUAUUUUUGCCUGCAGAGUAGAGUAGAGGUGACUAAGGGAGAUAUGAAGAAGAUGGAAGAGGAAGGAAGAAGCGUGUGAUUGAUUCGCUUGUUAUAAUGACCACAUAUCAUGAUUUCAGUUAGAUGAGUUCUAUCUAUUUCCAAAUUACCAGUGGACCUGAACCGGUU